GUUAGAGACAAAGGUAAGGUACAACUCUCGCACACCAAGUCAAGAUCCCUGCUGUGGGAAGCUCCAUCGCCUGGGGUCUGGAAAUGCAAUGUGGACGGUACAAUUUUUUAUGCAGGUUAUGAGGCAGGAUAGGGAGCAGUCGUCUGAGACUCGACAGAAAGAGUAUUGACGGUUUUCUCUGGCAGGUUAUGAGGGUGUCACUCUCCCUAUCUAACUGAACCACUUGGCUACCAUAAUUCACUGCAAUAUAUAAUCUCCAAUAUCACUGGGUCGAUGUUUUCGAAGUGGACGCACAGAUGGUAAAAAAAGCUUUGACGACCAAUGGGGAAGAUUGUUCUUAAGUUAAUGUAUCCAUAAGUUGGGUUCGAAG
This 370-nucleotide long non-coding RNA is filed under the name Carica papaya (papaya). RNAcentral's name for it is "long non-coding RNA (CPAP_LNC016231)". Lineage: Eukaryota; Viridiplantae; Streptophyta; Magnoliopsida; Brassicales; Caricaceae. The record is from RNAcentral.